UAAAUGCUAUGCGAGAAAUAUAAUAUGUUUAGAAAAGGAACAACAGAUGCAUCAAAGAAGGCCCGCUGUCAUAUGCAAUGUCGGAUUCAAACAUUGUGUACAUAUAUAUGAUGUAACAUAUUUCACAAGGAUAGCUUUGUUGUACACAACUCUUGAAAAGAAGGCCUGCUGUGCUCUAUUAGCAGUCACUUUAUUACAAUAGAUACACUUCGUUUCAGAUGCCAACAUAUCCUGACUUGAGCAAUAGGUUGAGCACCAUGCAGCUCCCAUCGUCAUCUAACAGAGAUAUCUUGGUUGGCUGAAAGAGACAAAGUGGAUACAACUACAACAUUAGUCUGCACAGCGAACUUUUUGUUUUCGCUAGAGAUGAGCUUGCAACUGAACAUGCCGACAAUACCUGAAAAAAUAGGAACAUCAUGUAUUUUUAGAAGCAUAUCCAAUAUGAAAGGUCAACAAAAUUAUCUGGUUGGAUAAGAAAGUUGAACAAAAAUAAUGAUAGCCAGAGUACAAGCUAAAUCAACAGCCAAAUAAAUAUCGCCAAGCAAGAGCGCUUGAUGAUCGACCAUGAGAGAAGAUGUGAAAUCGCAGCAUGGUUCCUUCUAGAUGUGUUCUGGGACAUCAUUAGCACUGACACAGGAGCCUCUAACUAGCUUUGAUAACCUAUUCAGAAUCAUCCAAUGAAAGCAAGUGCAUACCUAGAAUUAAAAUUUACAGGUAUUAGAGUUACAUGUAUCAAGAAUUGUUGAGAUGACUCCAGGAAUGUACGCCAGAUCAUUAUUGUUGAUUUUAAAGCAUUGUUUUUUCAGGGGAUUUUGAAAGCAUUGUUAGAAAGUGGAUCGCAACAAGUAAAAAAUCAUGAAUAAGAAGAACUACUAAUGAUUUCAGAAAGUUCAACUGGACAUCAAAGUGCAGUUUCGAUUUAAGAUCAACAAAAUGAAUCAAAAGAACACACAACAAAAUAUAAUCUACUCCAGGCUCGUAACCAUUUUUCACAUACAAGUCAUAGCAUUCAUGCACAAAUCUUACUUUAUAGCCUGCAGAAGAUAUAGAUACUGUUUACGAAUUAAGUAUAGGAACAACGAGCACACCUUUUGCCUGAUUCUAGUCCAUUGCUGCAAUUGGGGAAAACUGACAGAUGGGAAGAAACGUAAUACUUUGGAUAAUCGAAUAGGAGAUCAUACCUUGAUACCUUAAGCUGCAGAAGAUGGCUGUCUUCUUUGCGAUGGCUGGGUCGACAUUGCCUGGACCUACAGCAUGGCGGCGAUACAUGUAUGCGCUCGCCGGCGGUUCGGCCGUUUCAGGGGAGAGGAGCGGCGCUGGCGCUUGUACGACGCUGAAACUAGGUACAUGACCAGGGGGGAGAGGUCGAGUGGCCCAGCAGAGAAGGGGACGGAGGGGAGAGAGGCGACAGAGCAAAUUGCUAACCCUAGCUUGCAAAUCGCCGGUGUACAGGUACGAGCAGAGCAAAGGGAAGAAGACAAUGGGAUCUUGGAAGG
RNAcentral lists this long non-coding RNA (1496 nucleotides) under Triticum aestivum (bread wheat). Its description in RNAcentral is "long non-coding RNA (TAES_LNC017579)". The record is from RNAcentral. Lineage: Eukaryota; Viridiplantae; Streptophyta; Magnoliopsida; Poales; Poaceae.